GGAAUCCAUAAGCUCCAGCCCACAAAGCUAGGACCAUAUAUGCUUGAUCAGUGAUGAGGUUCCCAGCAAGGACAACAGGAACUAUAUGCAUGUGAAGCAGAACCAGUAUGGGUCCCCCAAAUAGGAACCAAUUCUUCAACUCUUUCCAACGCUGCGUUCUUGGUUUCGGCAUCUUCAAGCAAAGCUCCCACAUCAAACACAUUGUCCAAGAGUUUGAGAUCUUAACAUCUGAAUAUGACUAUUGACAGCACAUAAGCAAGACCAAGACACAGACAAGAGUACCAAGCAGAAUGUGAAGACUCACUGAUGUGCCAUGUAAAUCUGUGACAAACAUCUACGUAUAUACUGUGGCCCACACUGUGCUAUUCAGGAACAGGCUCACCCUGGGGUCGGUGUGGAGCCAUGCCUCACCACUGCAGUGGAGAGUUCUGGGGGAGAGGUGCUGUGGUCAGGGAGACAAAAAAUACCUCCUGGAACUCCCCAGCAUACAGGCAGGUGCAGUCAGUUCUGCCAACUGGCACAAAAGGAGAGGAGGAGCUCUGCCUCCUUCCCACCCACUCUGGGCGGGCUAGUGCCCCGCGAGGCAGUAGGACAGUAAUCAUUGCACUCAGGUAAAUACAUGGAAUUCAACUGUGCCUGACCCCUGAAUAAGAUGAGGGAAAGGCUCCAUGUGCCUUCUGCCUGGUGUACCUGUGCAGAGGCUCUGUAUCUGUUCUCUAUUGUUCUGCCUGUGUUUGAGAUGAGCCCACAUGAUUUGAAAUGUUAACCUUUGAGCUGAAUAGGCAUAGGUCAGGAAGAGAUUGUGAUGAAAUAUCUUUUUAGAUGAACUACAGUUUUUGUGCUGGCAGAAGAUCAUCAUCAGUAUAGAAAGGAGUGCUCAGUGUCAAUGUGUACAUAUUCCUAACAGAGAACAAAAAGUAGCUCUGUCUCUGUUAGCACUGAGCAGAGCCAAAAACCAGCAGGAACAGACGAACUCCUAAGCAACAAAAAUACUGUUUUCCAUGUAAAUGUUCCUAAUAAUAAAACGCUGUGGGGAGAGAGAAAUACAUGGGGAUAGGGGAGAAAUGUGAUAUAAAAGCAGCAUUCUCUUUAAAUAGAACAUUUCCAAAUCUCUAAAGUCAGUGGCUGGGGAACUUCUAGUCACCAUUCAGUAGGAAAAUGUGUUAUUUUUUAAUCUUAGGACCACAGCAUUCAAUCAUUUGUAGAUAUACUAUCCUAUGCUGUGUUUGCUCAACAAAUUCUCCCCACCUCACCUGGUAACCAAUGCCCUGAUUCAGCAGGGUGCCUAACUCACAUGCUUAAAAGUCGGAUAUGUGCUUAAGUACCUUGCUCAAUUGGGCCCCAAAGAACAGAACCAGACCAAUUCAUUGAUGUUAUGAGGGAUGAAUUUGGUCCAUUAUGGCCAGCUGUGAGGCUCAACUUUGGAACAAACUUAGGUUUGGGGAAAUGAAUAUUACAAGAUGAGGGUCAAAUUUUCAUCCAUGCUCCAUGAGCAGGUUUACAUCAAUGGUUCCAGUUUAGCAGAGACAAUUGCUACAGUUUUAGUAAAAUAUGUAUAAUCUCCUUACUCUGUCCCCUCCAAAGCUCUCCUGGUUCAAUGGACUUCAGCGGAGUUAAAAGGCUUGUCCCUAUUUUUUUCCCCAAUAUCCCUUUUAUAGAUUUCCAUUUCAGAUAUGUCUCCCACUGCACAUAACAGGAGUUCUGUACCUGGAAGCAGGGGAGAAGAUACCUCUUACCUAGCAAGUAAGGGGUAUCACUGAACCCUCAGAGCCACUAACAUUAUUAGUUCCUAGAGAAGAUAAAUGACUAGGGGAGUUAGGCAGACUUACUGACUCUUUCAGUGUAAGGGCGAUGCUGUUGUGGAUAAAGAAAUAUAAAGAGACGAGGGGAAUGAAAUAAUCAAGGUAGCUUGAACAAUGUAAGGAUAGUUCUGCAGACAACAGACAUCAUGCUUCCAAGUGCGUGUCUGAGGUUACUUCUUUUUGCUUCAAUUUGUCAUUUUUACCAAGUGAUCAUUUACUCAUUGCUUUGCCCUACUCAUGGUUUUCAUGCCUGCUGCCCAGAGGAUGGUGUUUCUGGAGCCAAGAAGGUAGUCAUGAAGGUAGAGCAUGGGGGCAGGGACUGAGCAAAGCUCUCAGAAGCUGUCAUUGGCUUUACUUUGCUGCUUUGAGGCUACUAGCAGAAAACAGUUUAGCUGCCAAAAUGUCUUAAAUGAGCCCAGCCCUCUCAGCAGAGAGGUCAUUAUAUUAGAUUCAGGUUCCGGCUCCCUUGGAACAAAGAUCACUAUGCUGGAUGUGUGUGCUCUUUACGGUUUCAUUCACCUUACUUGGAACAGCAACUGAUUGCACAUUUUGAUCAAAAAAAAUACAGAGCAAGGACCAAAUUCACUCGAGGAUAUGUGCUCAGCUUGGAGCAGGGCCCCCAGUAUCAGAACGUCUACCUGGGAGGCUGCAGCAACACAAAAUGCUUUCAACAUCCCCCAAGACACCGGCGAGCAGCCCUCACAACUCCGGAAGUGAGCUGUGCUGGCCAAUUAAGGCAGUGGGGGAUGGACUGAGGCAAUGAAUCCACGCUACUGCUUUUGCAGUUAGGGCUUCUCUGGAGCCUAUAACAUUGUCAAGCUGACCUCCUACAAUGGAGUCCAGAAAGGAGGUUAGAGGUGUACCACCUGGGAUGGAGUGGCCCUUGCUGGCAAGGAGAGGCACAAUCUGCAAUCCUCUGCACUAGCAGAGAGCCCAAUUGUCAUUCAAGCCAUGCAGAGGCUGGCACUGUACAAAUAUGUUAAUCCAUUUGGGAUAUAAUGACCAAUUCUGGUCAGAGUAAAACCAGGCCAUACUCACAUCCAAAUAUUCGUCCAGGCCUAAUUUCGUAAAUUCAUACUGGAGAUGAACUCUGAAAUUCAUGUCCUCUACUGAAUGGACUACAAUGUUGAUGAACUGCAUACAUGCCACCUGUAGGGAACAAUCAUCACAGACUGAAAAUUUAACAAGAAAUAGCGGUGCAUCCUUUGUUUUGUACAGAAUGCGAGGAUUUGCCACACUGCAUAAGAGUAUUUAAAGACGAUUCUCCUCCCUCCUACCCAGGGAUAAUAGCUCAUGCUUCAGAUAGAGAAGGAAAAAAUCUGCUACAAACCUGGCCAAUUGAACAGCAGAUGGUGUGUGCAAAGGCAGCAUGCCUUUGUGACAUCACAAA
Molecule: long non-coding RNA, 3192 nt
Organism: Mauremys mutica (yellowpond turtle)
Lineage: Eukaryota; Metazoa; Chordata; Testudines; Geoemydidae
Exons: 3
Source: RefSeq, a predicted model, not a curated record